This 84-nucleotide transfer RNA is filed under the name Kiritimatiellia bacterium. RNAcentral's name for it is "Kiritimatiellae bacterium (gut metagenome) tRNA-Leu". It matches the Rfam family "tRNA". From Rfam's summary of the family: Transfer RNA (tRNA) molecules are approximately 80 nucleotides in length. Their secondary structure includes four short double-helical elements and three loops (D, anti-codon, and T loops). Further hydrogen bonds mediate the characteristic L-shaped molecular structure. tRNAs have two regions of fundamental functional importance: the anti-codon, which is responsible for specific mRNA codon recognition, and the 3' end, to which the tRNAs corresponding amino acid is attached (by aminoacyl-tRNA synthetases). tRNAs cope with the degeneracy of the genetic code in two manners: having more than one tRNA (with a specific anti-codon) for a particular amino acid; and 'wobble' base-pairing, i.e. permitting non-standard base-pairing at the 3rd anti-codon position. The record is from RNAcentral. Lineage: Bacteria; Pseudomonadati; Kiritimatiellota; Kiritimatiellia.
GGGCGAGUGGCGGAAUGGCAGACGCGCCGGACUUAGGAUCCGGUGGAGCAAUCCGUAGGGGUUCGAGUCCCCUUUCGCCCACCA